RNAcentral lists this ribosomal RNA (253 nucleotides) under uncultured prokaryote. RNAcentral's name for it is "partial 16S ribosomal RNA". It matches the Rfam family "Bacterial small subunit ribosomal RNA", at positions 524 to 776 of the family's 1533-position model. The record is from RNAcentral.
UACGGGGGGGGCAAGCGUUGUUCGGAAUUACUGGGCGUAAAGGGCUCGUAGGCGGCCAACUAAGUCAGACGUGAAAUCCCUCGGCUUAACCGGGGAACUGCGUCUGAUACUGGAUGGCUUGAGGUUGGGAGAGGGAUGCGGAAUUCCAGGUGUAGCGGUGAAAUGCGUAGAUAUCAAGAGGAACACUCGUGGCGAAAGCGAGCUACUGGACAACACCUGACGCUGAGGCUCGAAGGCCAGGGGAGCGAAAGGG